GAGCGAACAGGGAAGAGGCCAGCGCUGAACCCCGCGGUCCGAGCGGCCGCCGGGGAAUGUGGCGUUAGGGAGCGCCCGCCUAUCCCCGGCGCGCGCGGCGAGCCCAAGUCCAUCUUGAACGGGGCCACGGCCCGCAGAGGGUGCCAGGCCCGUAGCGGCCGCCGCGUCGUCGUGGGAGGGCGUCUCCUCAGAGUCGGGUUGCUUGAGAGUGCAGCCCCAAGCGGGUGGUAAACUCCAUCUAAGGCUAAAUACGACCACGAGACCGAUAGCGAACAAGUACCGUGAGGGAAAGUUGAAAAGAACUUUGAAGAGAGAGUUCAAGAGUACGUGAAACCGUUCUGGGGUAAACGGAAGGAAUCCGAGCCCAGACAGAGGCCGGGGAGAUUCACGUCCGCCUGGCCCGCCCGGCUCCCGGCGGCGGGACGGGGUCGUCGGCCCGGCAGGGGUAACCCUGCCGGCGCGCGGACGGCUUCCCGUUUUCCCGCCCGCCCCGGGGGCGCCGGAGGCGGUGCCGGCGGGCCGCACUUCUCCACCGGCGGCACGUCGCGACCCGUCGCGCGGGGGCCCACGGCCCGGGUCGGGGAGUCCGCGCGCGUCCGCGCGCGGCCCCUCCGGGACGCCCGGCCCCCGCAGGCGACGGUACAGAGAGGAACCACGGCCGUCCCCGGCAGGUCUCGACCUGCCGGGGCGCUCCGCGCCCGGCGGGCGCGCGCGCCGUCGCGGCGCGGGAUCCGCGCGAGCGGCCCGCGCCCGCGUGCGCGCCGUCCCAGCCGGGACCCUGCGGAGCGGACCGACGCCGGCGGCGUCGUCGGCGGUGGCGGCCCCGCGCCGCCCCGCCGCGCGCGCGCCGUCGGCGAGAGUCGCGAUCCGGUCAGCGGCGCCUAGCCUCGGAUAACCUUCCGACCCGUCUUGAAACACGGACCAAGGAGUCUGACAUGUGCGCGAGUCAGUGGGGCGUAGCGAACCCCAAGGGCGCAAUGAAAGUAAGGGCCGGGCGCCCCUCCCCCGGGGGGGGCGUCGCCGGCGGGGAAGACGGCGGCCGCGACCGCGGCCGCCCGCACUCCCGGGGCGUCUCGAGGCCCCCGUCCCGCACGCGGGGCGAGGCGCACCCCGAGCGCACACGUCGGGACCCGAAAGAUGGUGAACUAUGCCUGGCCAGGACGAAGUCAGGGGAAACCCUGAUGGAGGUCCGUAGCGAUUCUGACGUGCAAAUCGAUCGUCGGAGCUGGGUAUAGGGGCGAAAGACUAAUCGAACCAUCUAGUAGCUGGUUCCCUCCGAAGUUUCCCUCAGGAUAGCUGGCCUUCGGAGCGACUGAUGAGAGAACGAGUCUCAUCCGGUAGAGCGAAUGAUUAGAGGCCUUGGGGCCGAAACGACCUCAACCUAUUCUCAAACUUCAAAUGGGUGAGACCUCCGGCCUGCCUGGACUGUUGGAUGACGAGGCCGGAGGUCGGAUCGGAAGUGCCAAGUGGGCCAUUUUUGGUAAGCAGAACUGGCGCUGUGGGAUGAACCAAACGCCGGGUUAAGGCGCCCGACUCGACGCUCACGGGAACCCAUGAAAGGCGUUGGUUGCUUAAGACAGCAGGACGGUGGCCAUGGAAGUCGGAAUCCGCUAAGGAGUGUGUAACAACUCACCUGCCGAAGCAACUAGCCCUGAAAAUGGAUGGCGCUGAAGCGUCGGGCCUAUACCCGGCCGUCGGCGGCGGAGCGGACGCCGCUGUUCCGGUCGUCGCCGCGGGCCAAACGGGCGUUGCCGCGCGCCGCGGCGGUCCCCGCAAGGGGGCCGUCGCGCCGCGGUGCGUCCGCCGCGGCGGCGGCCGCCGGCGUCGUGAUGCCCCGACGAGUAGGAGGGGCGCGGCGGUGAGCGCCGAAGGGUGAGGGCGCGAGCCCGCCUGGAGCCGCCGUCGGCGCAGAUCUUGGUGGUAGUAGCAAAUACUCCAGCGAGGCCCUGGAGGGCUGAGGUGGAGAAGGGUUUCGUGUGAACAGCCGUUGCACACGAGUCAGUCGAUCCUAAGCCCUACGAGAGCUCUGAAGUCGAUGCGGGCCGGCCGAUACAUUCGGUGGCGGCCCCUCUGGGCGAAAGGGAAUCCGGUUCCUAUUCCGGAACCCGGCAGCGGAACCGUUCUACGUCGGGCCCCCCUCCGAGAGGAGGGAAGCUCGUCGGGGUAACCCAAAAGGACCCGGAGACGCCGUCGGGAGAUCGGGGAAGAGUUUUCUUUUCUGUUUGAGCGCUCGAGUUCCCUGGAAUCCUCUAGCAGGGAGAUAGGGUUUGGAGCGCGAAGAGC
RNAcentral lists this ribosomal RNA (2283 nucleotides) under Gryllotalpa sp. BYU-IGC-OR050. Its description in RNAcentral is "eukaryotic LSU rRNA". It matches the Rfam family "Eukaryotic large subunit ribosomal RNA", at positions 91 to 1764 of the family's 3401-position model. The record is from RNAcentral. RNAcentral also lists the same sequence under 1 other name. Lineage: Eukaryota; Metazoa; Arthropoda; Insecta; Orthoptera; Gryllotalpidae.